CAGAUUCAAAUUGUAGGGUUAUUUCGAAAAUUUCAGAUUGAAAUGUUUUCAGAGAGAGAAGGUGGAGAACAUUUCACGGAGCACCGAACCUUCGAACCUUCGAGCCAGCCACCACAACUCUCGCCGGAUAUCCGCCGCCCGUAGACGUUGUCGUUGCCGUUUUCGCUCCAUCCAGUGCCGUCGUAGUGCCGUCGGUGUCCGUCGUCUUCCACCCAGCCAGGCAGUUCGGAUUGCGGGUCGCCGCAGCUCCGGCGUCGGCAGACGAAUCGAAGACGGCAUCGUCUUCCCUCCGGCCUAGCCAACCAAGGGCGCAUUUUGAGUAUCGAUUCCUCCCACCCGCUUCCUUCCCUGUGCCGGACCCUUGCGGUGGCCGCCGGAGCAUCGCCGGAGUGUCGUCGAAGUGUCGCCGGACCCUUUCAAGGAGACUAGAAAUGAACAAAUUAUUUGAGGAUGUGUCUUCGUUUGUAAAUUGCCUUAGUCUUUCUUUGAUGCGAGAGAAGGUCAAACGCAAGAGAGUACAAGCAACAAAAGAAUCUGGUAGCAAACCGCAAGAUGCUAUUAAGCAGAACCAACAAUAGCCAGAUAUGACUGAACUCGCCAAGGGUCUCCCAAGUAAUUGGCAGCAUUCCCAAUUGGAUCCAUCAGACGUCUGAUAGGUGAAAAGUUUACUUGUUUUUGUUGCUUAUAUUGUGUGGCUUUUGAGUAAGUUUUAGUGUUUAUUCUCAUGAAAAGUGUAUAAUUGUUGAUAUAAGUAUAAUUUUGACUGUUUAAAUGUUUUUGAUGCUUUUGUUGUUUAUUUUGAUGUAAAAUAAGGAUUGAAUAUCAUAAAAGACUUGGACCAGGCCUAAUGGACGAUGUUUUGCCGAAAGUUUCGCGCCCGGGCGUGAGAAAAAGGGCUCUGGGCGUGAUUUUACCGAGAGGGUCGCGCCCGGGCGCGAGAUACAAAGGGGCCCCCGGGCGCCACUUAGAAGAAUUGAGACGCUCGUCCAGCGUACAGAGGACGCUCGUCCAGCGCGCAGAGGACGUUCGGCAGAGGACGCUCGUCCAGAGUGAGGACGCUCGUCCAACGCUCGUCCAGGGACGCUCGUCCAGCAGAGGUCGCUCGUUCGGCAGAGGACGCUCGUCCAGAGUGAGGACGCUCGUCCAACGCUCGUCCAGCGCUCGUCCAGGGACGCUCGUCCAGCAGAGGUCGCUCGUUCGGCAGAGGACGCUCGUCAAGCAGGGGACGCUCGUCCAGCAGGGGACGCUCGUCCAGAAUAGGAGAGGACGCUCGUCCAGGGUCUCAACAACGUCCUUCAUCUGAAACAAACUGAGCUCAAUGCAUUUCUAGAAGGCUUGUAUCCAACGCCAACAAACCGAAUAAACACUUCGUCCAUACCGGUCAUUCCACCGAACCCCAUUGAAGACAACAAAAUAAAGGACAUACUAAGGAAGCUUGUUAAUUCCUCAUGCCAACGUUAUCUUUCUCAACAUUGUAACUCAUCCAUUGCUCCAAGUUAAGGUGCAAAGAAAGACUAAUGUCUAAAGACAAACUUCCUAUAUCAAUGGAAAUUUUCUUUAUUUAGUA
Molecule: long non-coding RNA, 1567 nt
Organism: Vigna angularis (adzuki bean)
Lineage: Eukaryota; Viridiplantae; Streptophyta; Magnoliopsida; Fabales; Fabaceae
Exons: 4
Source: RefSeq, a predicted model, not a curated record